GAUGAACGCUGGCGGCGUGCCUAAUACAUGCAAGUCGAGCGAACAGACGAGGAGCUUGCUCCUCUGACGUUAGCGGCGGACGGGUGAGUAACACGUGGAUAACCUACCUAUAAGACUGGGAUAACUUCGGGAAACCGGAGCUAAUACCGGAUAAUAUAUUGCACCGCAUGGUUCAAUAGUGAAAGACGGUUUUGCUGUCACUUAUAGAUGGAUCCGCGCCGCAUUAGCUAGUUGGUAAGGUAACGGCUUACCAAGGCAACGAUGCGUAGCCGACCUGAGAGGGUGGUCGCCCACACUGGAACUGAGACACGGUCCAGACUCCUACGGGAGGCAGCAGUAGGGAAUCUUCCGCAAUGGGCGAAAGCGUGACGGAGCAACGCCGCGUGAGUGAUGAAGGUCUUCGGAUCGUAAAACUCUGUUAUUAGUGAAGAACAAAUGUGUAAGUAACUAUGCACGUCUUGACGGUACCUAAUCAGAAAGCCACGGCUAACUACGUG
This 497-nucleotide ribosomal RNA is filed under the name uncultured bacterium. RNAcentral describes it as "partial 16S ribosomal RNA". It matches the Rfam family "Bacterial small subunit ribosomal RNA", at positions 28 to 507 of the family's 1533-position model. The record is from RNAcentral.